AAGGUUAUAGCUCAGUGGUAGAGUGAGUGCUUAGCAUGCACGAGGUCCUGGGUUCAAACUCUAGUACCUCCA
RNAcentral lists this transfer RNA (72 nucleotides) under Camelus bactrianus (Bactrian camel). It matches the Rfam family "tRNA". Rfam says of the family: Transfer RNA (tRNA) molecules are approximately 80 nucleotides in length. RNAcentral also lists the same sequence under 1 other name. Lineage: Eukaryota; Metazoa; Chordata; Mammalia; Artiodactyla; Camelidae. The record is from Rfam by way of RNAcentral.